AGUUGGGGACCUACGGCCCCUCUGCAGGCCCGGGGGUGUGUCAGGCUGUGGGGAGCGACGUCCCGAGCCACGUGGGUGCUGCGUGGCUCGUAGUCCUUGUCAAGCACCGGUGACCCGCGGGGUGGGCAGCGGCUGGGCUUGCAGGUUUCCGUUCCUUCCCUUAAGAUGCCAUUUGGGGGGCAGUGGGCGAGGUCCCCGGCCUCGGCCGCAGCUUUCCCUUAAGGCUGUCAUUCGGGGGGCGGAGGCUCAGGUCCGUAGCCAGCUCCGCUGCCCCCUUGAGGCAUCAUUUGGGGGAGCGGUGGGCAGGGGCGGUUUGUCUCUGCCCGCGGUCCUCCCUUAAGACGUCACUGGGGUCCGCAGUGGGGAGGGCCGGAGGGCCCCCGCAGUCCUCCCUGAUGGUGUCAUUUGCGGGGGGCAGCGGCCAGGUCCGUAGGCCCCCGCUGUCCUCCCUUAAGUUACCGUUCGGGUUGGCAGUGGGUCUGGUCUGAACCCCUGUAGUUCUCACUUAAGGCCUUUCGGGGGGGGCCGCGGGCCAGGUCCCUAGGGCUUGGCCCGCGGCCCCUCCUUAAGGCGUCACUUGGGGCUGCAGUGGGCAAAGGCCUGGAGGUCGCCGCUGUCUGCUCUCGGGGUCAUCUUGCCGAGCUGCGGUGUGGUGCUGCCCUGCUCGCAAACGGGUCAAGCACUGACAGCCUUUUCACACCCCCAAGCCCAAGCUACGGUGUGGUGCUGCCUAGCUCUGUGGGCGGUCAAGCACUGGUGGUCACUUGAGGGGGCUUGUGCCCUCUCAAGGCCAUCCCAUGGGGAAGCACGAGCACACGGGGUGCCGCCAAAGACAACCAGCAGAGAAGACAACACAAAAGCAGGUGUGAGCUGGCCUGCUAUUUAAUGGACAAAUAAAAUUGAUCUGCCAGGCACCUUCUUGGUGCCUGGUGCCUUUCACCUCCAAGUUCCUGCUCCCCCUCUGCGCUGUUUCUCUUCUCUCCUGUCCUGUUCUUUCACAUCCAAGUUUCCCCGCCCGCUGCCCCCUUUCAUUUCUGCAGUGGUUCCCUUGCAACCACUGCGUGCUGAGGGCCUCCGGGCUGGCCACCCAGGAUACUGAAUCCCUUGCUGAAAGGGAUUGGUGGCAGAUGUCGCUUGACUUGGCUCUCCGGGAGUCGAGUGUUGGAGACUGGCCUGGCCACCUGAGGCUGCAGCCCCGAAUCCUGCAAAGCAGGUCCCCUUUGGGGGUCUGCACGUCAUCCCCAGAAGGACAAGCAGACAAGAUGGCAGAUGGGUCGGAGCGAGCUGACCGGGAAGGCGGAAAACGAGGCCAGCCUAACAGGAGGCACAGGCCUCGGGAGAACCAGAAGGAGAAGCAGCGGGGAAGAGGCGAGGUAGGAGAAAAGCCAGGCAGAGAAACAGGGUGAGAAGGAAAGGGACUCUGGACAGAGUGACCUCCCUGCCUUUAGGUCUCAAUCAUGUCUCAGCCAAAUUUUGGCUGCGUGAGCCUUUGGGCGAGCUCUCUGUAACUCAGAGAUGGAUCUCUGCCCUUGAAGCUGUUACACUUCUGUAGCAGUCAGGUGGAAGGUGGACAACCCUGUAAGCAAGGUGUGUGUCACCGCUACCUCGUUUGUAAAUCCAUGGAUCUGGCUGGUGGUCUUGUGCGGAGCAGCCGCCCUGUAAUCGGGGUGCAGGCCAGCUGCCAAACAUGACUGCCAAUGCUGCAGCCUCCUAUAAGCGGGGUGAGUGCUGCCUCCUAACAUGCGAGGACAGGCGAUAUGAACGUGUGUAGCGCUGGACAUCCCGUAAUUCGGAGUCCGAGUCCAUUGCUAUUGCUAGCCAGUUGGGAGAGGUGCCCCUGUAAGCAGGGUGGGCAUAGCCACCUACCGCUGGCUGGAGAGAGACGGAGCAGCCUGCCGCAUUGUGCAGCAGGACAGCCUUGCAGACAGGAGCCGGGUCUCGUUGGUGACAGCAAACUUUUUAGACCCCGGAGCCUGAUGACCCUCCCGUGGCUGGGUUGAAGCCUGUGGCCUCCUCCACCUUUCCCUGUGUCCAGGCAUCUGUCCCUUGUCCUGCAUCAGUGCCUGGUACUCCAUGUCCGGACCCCUGGACUGCCCUGUAACGAGGGUGUGAGUCCCGCGUCUCUUGGUGGAGGACUAGGUUAUGCAAAGCAGUGGACCACCCUGUAAGCAGGGUCUGGGCAUCCAUGUGCCUUUGGUGAGAGAUCUUUCCUUUGGCUAGCCUGAGGGCCCGCCCUGUAAGCAGGGCUCUGGGCAUGUCCCUUUUGAACCUUGUGGGCAGUCUGGCUGGUCAGACGGGCCGGGCCCUGUAAGGAGGGUGCGAGUCCCGUGUCUCUUGGUGGAGGGCUAGGUUCUGCAGAGCCGUGGACCACCCUGUAAGCAGGGUCCAGGUCUCCAUGUGCCUUUUGGGGACAGCUCUGUCCUUCGGCAGGCUGAGGGCCCUCCCUGUAAGGAAGGCCUCGCCUAUGGGCGAUCUGGCUGGCCAGGCGGGCCAUACCCUGUAAGGAGGGUGCCGGUCUUAGCCGUCUUGCCUCCUGGGAGUGGAGGAGGAUUUUGCAGGGUAAGGCUCGAGGACAAGCAGUUUGCAGCACGGAGCUGCUUUCCGGCCUGGGAACACUCUUCCUUGUCAGAGUGUGGCGAGCGAGAGAGAGGAGCGCCUGGGAAUGAAAGCGUUUGUUAUUUUCUUUUUGUUGUUAAAAUCGCUGCAGCGUACUUUAUUUUCUUCCCAGUGCUGGAAAGGGGCGAGAUGUGUCCACAUAGCCUUAUUCUUCCACCUCCUCACCUAGGGGGUUAAGCACCGGCAUAGAUUUCUGUGACUUCUGGCUUCGGGGAGCAUUAGGCCACCCCCCCCAGUGACCUCCCUGUCUCUCAGGGUACGGGUCUUGGGCCCCUCUUGGGUGGCCAACACGGUCCUUUGCCCACUUGGUAGCUCACACGAAGACUUCCUGCCAUCCGUCCUGGGGGCAGGCUCUGUAUCCCGUACCCGAGUCCCUGGAGACAAGUGCCCUGGCACUUGGCCAGCCGUCCUCCUGCGCCCCUGGCCCCGGCUUGCAGCCUGUAAGCAGGGUCCGGGUCCCCUUGAUUUUCUGGGUCUUGUUCCAGUGGGUGAGGUUGGCCAGAGACGAUACCCACGGGCCACAGGGAAGGUUGCAGUGCGCUGGCACCCCGAGGCAUCGUGACCUCCCUGUAACUCGGGUCCAGGUCUCUGCUCCUCUGUUCUGCUGCUCCUGGCACUGUUGAGAGGGCCUCUCCCCGCGCCCUGUAAACAGGGCUGUGCCCCCCACCCGCUCUGACCCUGGGGGAGGAGGCUUUGUUUAGUCCUUUGGGCUCUGUGGCUUCAGUGACACGAGGCUGAAGUUGUGGCCCUUAUGUCCUCCAGGAAUGGGGCAAUUUUGACCCCUGGUCAAGACCGCCUGAGGUACCUGUCAGCUGGCAUUCAGGUCUUUGCAGGUUUUCUCUGGGCUUCAUGCCCCAGCAGCCAGCUGUGUGCCGGGAGCGCCGCCCUGUAAGCAGGGUUUCUGGUGUUGGCGGUCACCGCUCGUGGUGCCGCCCUAGCAGUUCUGUCCAGAGCCCUGGCCCAUCGCACGCAGCUUCUGGCUGGCCCGGAUGUCUGCCUCCCCCAUCUCCGCGGACAGAGGACAGCGGCCGCAGGUCCAGGCUCAAGCAGAGAAAACGGCAGACCAGCAGGAAUCCACUUACAAGGAGGGAAGAAAACCAUGCCAGCCCAGCAAAGGUGUCGGAAGGAGAAGCCGCAGGCAAGCCAUGACGGGCAAAAAGCCAGCAAAACGGGGUGCGAAGGGAAGGGACUCUGGACAGAAUGAUCUCCCUGCCUUCAGGUCUCAGUCAUGUAUUAGCCACUUUUUGCAUGUGUGAGCCUUUGGGCGAGCUCUCUGUAACUCAGAAAUGGGUCUCAGCCCUUGAAGCCGUUGCACUUCUGCAGCAGUCGGGUGGAAGGUGGACAACCCUGUAAGCAAGGCGUGUGUCACCGCCGCCUCUUCUAAAGGCCGUGGAUCUGGUUGGUGGUCUUGCGCAUCGCAGCCGCCCUGUAAUCGGGGUCCGGGCCAGCUGGCUGCCAAUGGUGCAGCCUCCUGUACGCGGGGUGCGUGCUGCCUCCUAACACGUGAGAACAACAGGCAAUUUGACCAUGUGUAGCGCUGGACAUCCCGUAAUUGGGAGUCCAAGUCCCCUGCCAUAGCCAGCCAGCCGGAGAGGUGCCCCUGUAAGCAGGGUGGGCAUAGCCGCCUUCCGCUGGGCUGAGAGACACGGCGCAGUCUGCCGCGUUGUGCAGCAGGAGGGCCUUGCAGACAGGAGCCGGGUCUCGUGGAGUGACAGCAAACUCUUCACAUCCCAGAGCCUGAUGACCUUCCCGUGGCUGGGUUGAAAUCUGUGGUCUCCUCACCGUUCUCUGAGUCCAGGCAUCUGUCCUUCAUCCUGCAUCUGUGCCUGGUACUCCAAAUCCAGACCCCUGGGCCACCCUGUAACGAGGGGGCGAGUCCCAGGCAUCCUGUAGGACGGCCAGGGUCUGCAGAGCUGUGGACCACCCUGUAAGCAGGGUCCAGGUCUCAGUGUGCUUUUGGGGACAGCUCUGUCCUUUGGCUGGCUGUUGGCCCGCCCUGUAAGCAGGGCUCUGGGCAUGUCCCUUUUGAACCUUGUGGGGCAGUCUGGCUGGCCAGACGGGCCGUGCCCUGUAAGGAGGGUGCGAGUCCCGUGUCUCUUGGUGGAGGGCUAGGUUCUGCAGAGCUGUGGACCACCCUGUAAGCAGGGUCCAGGUCUCCAUGUGCCUUUUGGGGACAGCUCUGUCCUUCGGCAGGCUGAGGGCCCUCCCUGUAAGGAAGGCCUCGCCUAUGGGCGAUCUGGCUGGCCAGGCGGGCCGUACCCUGUAAGGAGGGUGCCGGUCUUAGCCGUCUUGCCUCCUGGGAGUGGAGGAGGAUUUUGCAGGGUAAGGCUCGAGGACAAGCAGUUUGCAGCACGGAGCUGCUUUCCGGCCUGGGAACACUCUUCCUUGUCAGAGUGUGGCGAGCGAGAGAGAGGAGCGCCUGGGAAUGAAAGCGUUUGUUAUUUUCUUUUUGUUGUUAAAAUCGCUGCAGCGUACUUUAUUUUCUUCCCAGUGCUGGAAAGGGGCGAGAUGUGUCCACAUAGCCUUAUUCUUCCACCUCCUCACCUAGGGGGUUAAGCACCGGCAUAGAUUUCUGUGACUUCUGGCUUCGGGGAGCAUUAGGCCACCCCCCCCAGUGACCUCCCUGUCUCUCAGGGUACGGGUCUUGGGCCCCUCUUGGGUGGCCAGCACGGUCCUUUGCCCACUUGGUAGCUCACACGAAGACUUCCUGCCAUCCGUCCUGGGGGCAGGCUCUGUAUCCCGUACCCGAGUCCCUGGAGACAAGUGCCCUGGCACUUGGCCAGCCGUCCUCCUGCGCCCCUGGCCCCGGCCUGCAGCCUGUAAGCAGGGUCCGGGUCCCCUUGAUUUUCUGGGUCUUGUUCCAGUGGGUGAGGUUGGCCAGAGACGAUACCCACGGGCCACAGGGAAGGUUGCAGUGCGCUGGCACCCCGAGGCAUCGUGACCUCCCUGUAACUCGGGUCCAGGUCUCUGCUCCUCUGUUCUGCUGCUCCUGGCACUGUUGAGAGGGCCUCUCCCCGCGCCCUGUAAACAGGGCUGCGCCCCCCACCCGCUCUGACCCUGGGGGAGGAGGCUUUGUUUAGUCCUUUGGGCUCUGUGGCUUCAGUGACACGAGGCUGAAGUUGUGGCCCUUAUGUCCUCCAGGAAUGGGGCAAUUUUGACCCCUGGUCAAGACCGCCUGAGGUACCUGUCAGCUGGCAUUCAGGUCUUUGCAGGUUUUCUCUGGGCUUCAUGCCCCAGCAGCCAGCUGUGUGCCGGGAGCGCCGCCCUGUAAGCAGGGUUUCUGGUGUUGGCGGUCACCGUUCCCGGUGCCGCCCUAGCAGUUCUGUCCAGAGCCCUGGCCCAUCGCACGCAGCUUCUGGCUGGCCCGGAUGUCUGCCUCCCCCAUCUCCGUGGACAGAGGACAGCGGCCGCAGGUCCAGGUCCCCGAAGGGCAGCUGGAGAAGAAGGAAUGGAACCAGCAGAAGCAAGCUCGGGAACAAGAAGUGUGGGUCGGGGUGGGCAGGAGGAAGGGGAAUGCUUAAUGUCUGCUCAGAUAAGGACAGAUGGAGGCUGUUGAGUGCAUCUACACUUUCACACACCCAGGAGGAGCAAGCAGCCACACGCUUCAAGUUGCACCGUGCAUUCAGUCUUGGGUUGGCCCCGAUUGUGUGCAGGGAGGUUGAGGCUUUGUGCUAGUCGUGCAUAUCGAUAUGCAGCAGUCAAGGGUUUUGCAGGUUGUGUGCAAGGAGGCUGAGGCGUUGUGCUAGUUGUGUGUAUUGAUAUGCAGCUGUCACGGGUUUCGCAGGCGGUUUGGCUUUGCCAGUGAAGCGGUGGAUCAGAAUAGGUGUGACUGAAGGCAGCGUGUAGGGCGUUCUUGGUUGGGUUGUUGAGCGGUUCUCGGUGUUAGUGUAGGAACACAGGUUUGUGCUCGGUUCUGUUUGUGGCUUGGCUGUAGCUUGCUUAGGCUGUAGCUUGCAGGGCCAAUUUGAGGCUGUUUAUGGUGCAAUUUGUUUGCGUCUGUAAAUUAAGGCUCUGCGGGUGUUUGACAGUGUUAAUCUCCAGCUCCACGGGGACAAAGAUUUUGUCCUCUGUCCAAAUGAUCCUCAAGGUAGUUGGCAUGGUCCAUGUCAAACCAGUAGGAAGCAAGUGGGCCUAAGAUGUGCACAGUCAACAAUAAAUGGUCUAAAAACUGUCUACCUUGUGGCUGGUGCUCUUCUACGCGGAGAAGAUUUGGUCCUUUUCCUUUCCUACUGAGAUCUGGCUGAAGGAAUAAACUUUUUCGUUCUGUC
This is a long non-coding RNA of Alligator mississippiensis (American alligator), 6884 nucleotides long. RefSeq lists it as uncharacterized. The record is from RefSeq and is a predicted model, not a curated record. NCBI's taxonomy places the organism in Eukaryota, Metazoa, Chordata, Crocodylia, Alligatoridae. The transcript has 5 exons.